CCGGAGAGUGAUAGCAAAAAUCAAUCCUCUAAAUGUUACGGGGUUUUAUUUUUAAAAUGAAUUUGCAUGAUCCAGGAUCAGGAAAAAUCCAGCCUCUGAUCUCCUGUUUACCUGACACAUUCGUUGGUUCCUGUUUCUGCCCUCCUUGCUACACUGGAGAAUUGGGGGAGGGCCAGCAGGGGGCUUUCCACCCCUGAUAUUAGGCCAGUGGGAGGAGAGGCCGAGGAGCCAGCCCAGACCCCUGGAGGGGCAGGGGGCAGUCACUUGCAGUUCUCAGAGCCUCCACUGUAUGCUGAGCUCCAGUGCACUGUAUAUACUGGGGGCCUGUGGAAGUGGUCUUGGGGGAGAGUAGAGACAGGAACAAAUUGAACAGUACACCCAGCCCUGAAGUGUUACUUUCCUGUGGCUGCUACAAUAAAUUUGCACACGUUUAGUGGCUUAAAGCAACAUAGAUUUGUUAUCUUACAGUUCUAGAGGUCAGAAGGCUGAAAUGGGUCUCACUGGCUAGAAUCAAGGCGGCAGAGCUGGGCUCCUGCUGCAGGCUCUGUGAGGUAGUCUGCUCCUUUCUUUUUCCAGCUUCUAGAAGUGUCUGCUUUCCUUGAUCAAGGCUGUUGCAUCUUCAGCUGGAGCAUCUUCAGCUGGAGCAUCUUCAGCUCCAGCAGGCAGCAAGCACAUCUCCUCUGGCCUCUGCUUCUGCCAUCUCACCUCCUCCUCUGGCUCUCUUCCUCUUCUGCUUUGAAGGACCCUUGUGAUUAGAUCGGGCAUGCCUGGAUAAUCCAGCACAGUCUCCCCUCUCAAGAUCCUUAAUUUAAUCAUAGCUGCACAGUCCCUUUUGUCCUGUAAGAGACAUCUUCACAGGUUUUGGGGAUUAGAACCAGACCGUCUUUGGAGGGGCAUCCUUCUGCCUGCCAUAUGUGACUUGGGGGCAUGCGGGAAAUGGCUGGAGCGUAACCACAAAGCAUACAGCAUGCAGCCAAGCAACAUGCGACAAGAUGAAUCCACAAGUGCCGGGGAGACAACCAGUGAGGAAGAAGCCCAGGAGACUUCUUGGAGGAAGCGAGUUUCAAACCAGAGACAGGAGCUCACCCUGUCACCU
This 1096-nucleotide long non-coding RNA is filed under the name Pan troglodytes (chimpanzee). RNAcentral's name for it is "long non-coding RNA NONPTRT012065". The record is from RNAcentral. Lineage: Eukaryota; Metazoa; Chordata; Mammalia; Primates; Hominidae.